GAUGAACGCUGGCGGCGUGCUUAACACAUGCAAGUCGAACGAUGAAGCCCAGCUUGCUGGGUGGAUUAGUGGCGAACGGGUGAGUAACACGUGAGUAACCUGCCCUUAACUCUGGGAUAAGCCUGGGAAACUGGGUCUAAUACCGGAUAGGAGCGUCCACCGCAUGGUGGGUGUUGGAAAGAUUUAUCGGUUUUGGAUGGACUCGCGGCCUAUCAGCUUGUUGGUGAGGUAAUGGCUCACCAAGGCGACGACGGGUAGCCGGCCUGAGAGGGUGACCGGCCACACUGGGACUGAGACACGGCCCAGACUCCUACGGGAGGCAGCAGUGGGGAAUAUUGCACAAUGGGCGAAAGCCUGAUGCAGCGACGCCGCGUGAGGGAUGACGGCCUUCGGGUUGUAAACCUCCUUCAGUAGGGAAGAAGCGAAAGUGACGGUACCUGCAGAAGAAGCACCGGCUAACUACGUG
RNAcentral lists this ribosomal RNA (466 nucleotides) under uncultured bacterium. RNAcentral describes it as "partial 16S ribosomal RNA". It matches the Rfam family "Bacterial small subunit ribosomal RNA", at positions 28 to 507 of the family's 1533-position model. The record is from RNAcentral.